AUUUCUUAAUUUAUAUAGUUUAAUAAAAACAUUACAUUUUCAUUGUAAAAUUAAAUCCAUAUUUUAUAAA
This 70-nucleotide transfer RNA is filed under the name Lampyridae sp. UPOL ZL2019. Its description in RNAcentral is "tRNA-Glu". Lineage: Eukaryota; Metazoa; Arthropoda; Insecta; Coleoptera; Lampyridae. The record is from RNAcentral.